UACGUAGGGUGCAAGCGUUGUCCGGAAUUAUUGGGCGUAAAGAGCUCGUAGGCGGUCUGUCGCGUCUGCUGUGAAAACUCGGGGCUUAACCCCGGGCCUGCAGUGGGUACGGGCAGACUAGAGUGCGGUAGGGGAGAAUGAGAUCCUGGUGUAGCGGUGGAAUGCGCAGAUAUCAGGAAGAACACCGAUGGCGAAGGCAGUUCUCUGGGCCGUAACUGACGCUGGAGGAGCGAAAGCGUGGGGAGCGAACAGG
RNAcentral lists this ribosomal RNA (253 nucleotides) under uncultured bacterium. Its description in RNAcentral is "partial 16S ribosomal RNA". It matches the Rfam family "Bacterial small subunit ribosomal RNA", at positions 524 to 776 of the family's 1533-position model. The record is from RNAcentral.